GGGUUGUGAGGUUAAGCGACUAAGCGUACACGGUGGAUGCCCUGGCAGUCAGAGGCGAUGAAGGACGUGCUAAUCUGCGAUAAGCGUCGGUAAGGUGAUAUGAACCGUUAUAACCGGCGAUUUCCGAAUGGGGAAACCCAGUGUGUUUCGACACACUAUCAUUAACUGAAUCCAUAGGUUAAUGAGGCGAACCGGGGGAACUGAAACAUCUAAGUACCCCGAGGAAAAGAAAUCAACCGAGAUUCCCCCAGUAGCGGCGAGCGAACGGGGAGCAGCCCAGAGCCUGAAUCAGUGUGUGUGUUAGUGGAAGCGUCUGGAAAGGCGCGCGAUACAGGGUGACAGCCCCGUACACAAAAAUGCACAUGCUGUGAGCUCGAUGAGUAGGGCGGGACACGUGGUAUCCUGUCUGAAUAUGGGGGGACCAUCCUCCAAGGCUAAAUACUCCUGACUGACCGAUAGUGAACCAGUACCGUGAGGGAAAGGCGAAAAGAACCCCGGCGAGGGGAGUGAAAAAGAACCUGAAACCGUGUACGUACAAGCAGUGGGAGCACGCUUAGGCGUGUGACUGCGUACCUUUUGUAUAAUGGGUCAGCGACUUAUAUUCUGUAGCAAGGUUAACCGAAUAGGGGAGCCGAAGGGAAACCGAGUCUUAACUGGGCGUUAAGUUGCAGGGUAUAGACCCGAAACCCGGUGAUCUAGCCAUGGGCAGGUUGAAGGUUGGGUAACACUAACUGGAGGACCGAACCGACUAAUGUUGAAAAAUUAGCGGAUGACUUGUGGCUGGGGGUGAAAGGCCAAUCAAACCGGGAGAUAGCUGGUUCUCCCCGAAAGCUAUUUAGGUAGCGCCUCGUGAAUUCAUCUCCGGGGGUAGAGCACUGUUUCGGCAAGGGGGUCAUCCCGACUUACCAACCCGAUGCAAACUGCGAAUACCGGAGAAUGUUAUCACGGGAGACACACGGCGGGUGCUAACGUCCGUCGUGAAGAGGGAAACAACCCAGACCGCCAGCUAAGGUCCCAAAGUCAUGGUUAAGUGGGAAACGAUGUGGGAAGGCCCAGACAGCCAGGAUGUUGGCUUAGAAGCAGCCAUCAUUUAAAGAAAGCGUAAUAGCUCACUGGUCGAGUCGGCCUGCGCGGAAGAUGUAACGGGGCUAAACCAUGCACCGAAGCUGCGGCAGCGACGCUUAUGCGUUGUUGGGUAGGGGAGCGUUCUGUAAGCCUGUGAAGGUGUGCUGUGAGGCAUGCUGGAGGUAUCAGAAGUGCGAAUGCUGACAUAAGUAACGAUAAAGCGGGUGAAAAGCCCGCUCGCCGGAAGACCAAGGGUUCCUGUCCAACGUUAAUCGGGGCAGGGUGAGUCGACCCCUAAGGCGAGGCCGAAAGGCGUAGUCGAUGGGAAACAGGUUAAUAUUCCUGUACUUGGUGUUACUGCGAAGGGGGGACGGAGAAGGCUAUGUUGGCCGGGCGACGGUUGUCCCGGUUUAAGCGUGUAGGCUGGUUUUCCAGGCAAAUCCGGAAAAUCAAGGCUGAGGCGUGAUGACGAGGCACUACGGUGCUGAAGCAACAAAUGCCCUGCUUCCAGGAAAAGCCUCUAAGCAUCAGGUAACAUCAAAUCGUACCCCAAACCGACACAGGUGGUCAGGUAGAGAAUACCAAGGCGCUUGAGAGAACUCGGGUGAAGGAACUAGGCAAAAUGGUGCCGUAACUUCGGGAGAAGGCACGCUGAUAUGUAGGUGAAGUCCCUCGCGGAUGGAGCUGAAAUCAGUCGAAGAUACCAGCUGGCUGCAACUGUUUAUUAAAAACACAGCACUGUGCAAACACGAAAGUGGACGUAUACGGUGUGACGCCUGCCCGGUGCCGGAAGGUUAAUUGAUGGGGUCAGCGCAAGCGAAGCUCUUGAUCGAAGCCCCGGUAAACGGCGGCCGUAACUAUAACGGUCCUAAGGUAGCGAAAUUCCUUGUCGGGUAAGUUCCGACCUGCACGAAUGGCGUAAUGAUGGCCAGGCUGUCUCCACCCGAGACUCAGUGAAAUUGAACUCGCUGUGAAGAUGCAGUGUACCCGCGGCAAGACGGAAAGACCCCGUGAACCUUUACUAUAGCUUGACACUGAACAUUGAGCCUUGAUGUGUAGGAUAGGUGGGAGGCUUAGAAGUGUGGACGCCAGUCUGCAUGGAGCCGACCUUGAAAUACCACCCUUUAAUGUUUGAUGUUCUAACGUUGACCCGUAAUCCGGGUUGCGGACAGUGUCUGGUGGGUAGUUUGACUGGGGCGGUCUCCUCCUAAAGAGUAACGGAGGAGCACGAAGGUUGGCUAAUCCUGGUCGGACAUCAGGAGGUUAGUGCAAUGGCAUAAGCCAGCUUGACUGCGAGCGUGACGGCGCGAGCAGGUGCGAAAGCAGGUCAUAGUGAUCCGGUGGUUCUGAAUGGAAGGGCCAUCGCUCAACGGAUAAAAGGUACUCCGGGGAUAACAGGCUGAUACCGCCCAAGAGUUCAUAUCGACGGCGGUGUUUGGCACCUCGAUGUCGGCUCAUCACAUCCUGGGGCUGAAGCAGGUCCCAAGGGUAUGGCUGUUCGCCAUUUAAAGUGGUACGCGAGCUGGGUUUAGAACGUCGUGAGACAGUUCGGUCCCUAUCUGCCGUGGGCGCUGGAGAACUGAGGGGGGCUGCUCCUAGUACGAGAGGACCGGAGUGGACGCAUCACUGGUGUUCGGGUUGUCAUGCCAAUGGCACUGCCCGGUAGCUAAAUGCGGAAGAGAUAAGUGUUGAAAGCAUCUAAGCACGAAACUUGCCCCGAGAUGAGUUCUCCCUGACUCCUUGAGAGUCCUGAAGGAACGUUGAAGACGACGACGUUGAUAGGCCGGGUGUGUAAGCGCAGCGAUGCGUUGAGCUAACCGGUACUAAUGAACCGUGAGGCUUAACCUUACAACGCCGAAGCUGUU
This 2930-nucleotide ribosomal RNA is filed under the name Escherichia coli. Its description in RNAcentral is "23S ribosomal RNA". It matches the Rfam family "Bacterial large subunit ribosomal RNA". Lineage: Bacteria; Pseudomonadati; Pseudomonadota; Gammaproteobacteria; Enterobacterales; Enterobacteriaceae. The record is from RNAcentral.